This 87-nucleotide unclassified non-coding RNA is filed under the name Pseudomonas psychrophila. The record is from RNAcentral. Lineage: Bacteria; Pseudomonadati; Pseudomonadota; Gammaproteobacteria; Pseudomonadales; Pseudomonadaceae.
UGUGGGAGCGGGCUUGCUCGCGAUGCAGGCUGCACGGUGAACCUGGUACACCGCGGUGAUGCAAUCGCGAGCAAGCCCGCUCCCACA